RNAcentral lists this ribosomal RNA (395 nucleotides) under uncultured bacterium. RNAcentral's name for it is "bacterial SSU rRNA". It matches the Rfam family "Bacterial small subunit ribosomal RNA", at positions 358 to 770 of the family's 1533-position model. The record is from RNAcentral.
GGAAUUUUGCGCAAUGGGCGGAAGCCUGACGCAGCAACGCCGCGUGGAGGAAGAAGGCCCUCGGGUCGUAAACUCCUGUCCAUGGGGAAGAUGGUGACGGUACCCUUGGAGGAAGCCCCGGCUAACUCCGUGCCAGCAGCCGCGGUAAUACGAAGGGGGCGAGCGUUAUUCGGAAUUAUUGGGCGUAAAGGGCGCGUAGGCGGCUUGGCAAGUCAGGGGUGAAAUCCCUCGGCUCAACCGAGGAACUGCCUCUGAAACUGCCUGGCUUGAGGCCGGGAGAGGGUAGUGGAAUUCCCAGUGUAGCGGUGAAAUGCGUAGAUAUUGGGAGGAACACCGGUGGCGAAGGCGGCUACCUGGACCGGUUCUGACGCUGAGGCGCGAAAGUGUGGGGAGCA